UGGAACGUUAGCUACUCAUGAAUCUGCUUGUAUCCAAUAGCCAGUUAGCUGGCUAUCGUGACUCUAUGAUAAAAGCUAACGUUAACGUUUAGCGUGAUGACUAGCUUGUUAACGCGGCACUUUUCCAAAAUGACGCCUGGGAUGUAUUCUUUAUUUUAAUCGAUGAGAUCCAGGUUCCUUUGAGUACCGCUGUCACCAUGUUUCAAUAUGCUUUGUGUUGUAGUCACGACAGACAAAUAUAUAUAGUUAAGCAAACUUUACUAUGCAUGUUGUCAACCAGCACAUUCAGUACAUUAAUAAGUGACAUCAUGGACCCCACUCCUGAGCCCAAGACCAGAGCGGAGGUUUGAAAGUCUGCCAAACUAAACCCUGAUUCAGAUGACCAUCCUACCCAUGCUAGAUUACGGAGAUGUAAUUUAUAGAUCGACAGGCCUCACUCACCCCUAUCUGAGAUAUCUACUGCAGCCCUCAUCCUCCACAUACAACAACUGUUCUGCCAGUCGCAUUCUGUUAAAGGUCCCUAAAGCAUACGCAUCCCUGGGUCACUCGUCUUUUCAGUUUGCUGCAGUUAGUGAAUGGAACGAGCUGCAACAAACACUCAAACUGGACAGUUUUAUCUUAAUCUCUUCAUUCGAAGACUCAGUCAUGGAUACUUUUACUGACAGUUGUGGCUGCUUUGCAUGAUGUGUUGUUGUCUCUACAUUCUUGCCCUUUGUGUUGUUGUCUGUGCCCAAUAAUGUUUGUACCAUGUUUUGUGCUGCUACCAUGUUAUUUUUAUAUAUAUUUAUUAUUUUUAUCCCAGCCCCCGUCCCCACAGGAGGCCUUUUGCCUUUUGGUAGGCCGUCAUUGUAAAUAAGAAUUUGUUCUUAACUGACUUGCCUAGUUAAAUAAAGUUUAAAUAAAUACCUUUUAAAACAUUUUUUUUUACAAUAAUGUCAGAAGAAGCAGCUUUAUUUCAUUCAGCAAAAGUUGGCAUUUCUGGGAAAACCGGGGUGAUCUACUCACAGCCAAUGGCAGGUCAUAAUUGUAGGAAACACAUUCGUCAAUUACCCACCUGUCUAAAUAAAAGUGAAACAUUUGAAUUGAAAAAUUAAUUAUUAUUAAAUAGUGGCAAUAUCAUAUCCGCCUUUGUUUGACU
Molecule: long non-coding RNA, 1138 nt
Organism: Oncorhynchus tshawytscha (Chinook salmon)
Lineage: Eukaryota; Metazoa; Chordata; Actinopteri; Salmoniformes; Salmonidae
Source: Ensembl